Non-coding RNA from Anas platyrhynchos (mallard), 5320 nucleotides. NCBI's taxonomy places the organism in Eukaryota, Metazoa, Chordata, Aves, Anseriformes, Anatidae. The record is from RefSeq and is a predicted model, not a curated record.
AUUAUAACAUUAUGAUUUGGUCGCCUUAGUCUAUUUUCUUAUGUAUGUUCCUGCUUUAAUUCAGUUUGACUGGACAUGCUGUUAUAUACAUCUGUCUGUAAUUGUCUGCCCCAAAACAUCUUGAACCUAUCUCCUGCUUCCAUUGUGCAUUCCUGAACACAGUUGUUCCUGUGAGCAGUGUAAUUCACAGAUAGAGUAUGUUGCUACAACUGUUGGUUAAUUGGUCUUAUACCCCAUUUUGGAACAUAAAUAUGAUUGCUCUAGUUACUGUAAAAUAUGCAUCUAAUAAUGCUUUGAAAUCUGCUUUUGUUGACAAAUUUAUUGACUUUUUGAGAAUUGAAACAAAAUACUUUGCUUGUAUGGUAGGCAUCUGGUAAAACCUUUCUAAAAAUGGUUGCUUCAGUGUAAAAUGUGGCAGCUGUAUUGCUCUCCAAAGCAUCUUUUUAUCCAUUUAUCAGUACCUUUUGAGAGAAGCCCUUUAGUCUUGAUUAAAGUGACUUCACUACAAAUGAUGUAUUUGCAGAUAAAUAAGUCCAUGUGAAAAGUGAGGUAAAGUGUUAAUCGGUUAAGAAAAUAAUUAAAUAAAGUCUUAUGGCCCAGUUCCACACCCAGCUCUGUGCAGGUCACAGGUAUUUCCAUCACAGUUUACAGAGUUGUAACUGUGCAAAAAACUAGUCUAAAACGACAAGUGGUUACAGGCUAACUUUAGGCUCCUGAAGUGGAAGAUGCCUGCACAUCAAGCACAGUUCUUUUUGUUUGAGUGCUUUCUUUCUCCCUAGUCAGUCUCCAUAAUAGACACCUAUUGUUAAAUAUUUUGCAUUAUAUAGCAGGAAAGUGCAAGUUUAGCUUAUUAAAAAAAAAAAAAAAAAAAAAAAAAGCAAUGUUUUUGUAAGAUCUUGGUAGCUUUCAGUUGAAAGAUAGUAUCUCAAGUUUAGUCAGAUUCCUGUGCUGUGUGGCUGUGAACUAUGUAACAAGGGAACAACUCUCACCCCAAAGAUCUUGCAAUCUCGGCUGACUUCUCACCUGACCCAACUCUAAUUUCAGGAGGAUAAAUCCCAGGCUCCCAGAGGAUGUGCCAUGCAGGGCCUCUGUACUGUGAAAACACUCGAGACUUUGAUUUAAAACUAGCACCCUGUGCUCAGGGGACUAGGCGGAGAAAGGCAACUGCCUCUUUUCUAUAAACAAUUUAAGGGUGCUGCAGAUCAAGUGCUUCUCAAAUUUUGGCACAAUUGUGUGGGAGAAAACUGGUUUCCUGUCCUAAAGAGAUCCUUUUUGAGGUAGUUGGAGGAUAUGAUGACCUGGAAUAUAGGUAUGCCUAAAUAUCACUUGUAUGUAGCUACAGAGUUUUGCCAUUUGUCUUGUAAUAAUUCUGUUUAGUAGAACAUGGAGGAAACAUUUUUAUCUGCUCCUACAUGUGGUAGGAGCAUCGUAUUGCACCUGGCUAGGACACUGGUUAGAAUGCUGUUCCAAACACAGCUUCAGUUUGGCCUUGUGGCCAGAUGGAGAUUAAUAGAUGGGAUGAAAUGUGUGGGCAAAUCAAGAAAUGAUCACCUUGUGCUGAUAGCCAAAAAAGCCAAAACGGAAUGCAGUCCUGUCCGUCUUGGGUUUAAUGGUGGCAGCUUUAAUGUAUAAAAGAAAUCCCCCUCUCUGUUCUCUCUUUCUCUCUCCAUCUCUCUUAGUCUCCAACUAGUGCGAGAGCUGAUGGAAAAGAAGAGCAGUGCCUUCCUGCAGCCUUAAAGAUGUAGCUGUUACUAUGGCUAAUUCUUUAGCUGUUGGGAAAUGAAUGGUUAUAUCAAAGUACAGGAGUUAUGCUUGGCAGGGCAGCUCUCUGAAUUGCAGAAGUGAGGGCUCGCUGCUAACAACGGAUGCUGCAGCACUGGGGAGUCUGGAUGGAGAAGAGGAUAACUGUGCUCAGGACAGUGAAGCUGUUUAUCAUCUGCCUUUUAUGUAUUCCUGAAAAUUCCCACCUGCUGUGUUUUUUGCAAAACUCUUGCUAGAAUUACACAGUUGGUGUGCCAUGCCUGGUGUUUGCUAUUCCAGCGUAGUAUUUGUCAUCUGUUUGCUGCAUGUACCUGUCAGUGGUUGUAAAUUCUGGGAGGUCUUUGGGGAAGAGCAGGGGAUUUCUUGGGUAAGUUGUCAAUGCCCAGCACUGCAGGACCCUAAUUCCUCCUGGGAACUUGGGAUGGAGCAAAUAGAUCUUACAAACUAAAGACUUUAUUCUAUAGUGCUAGUUUAACCUGUACAGGAGUACAGCCUGAAUUCUUGGGAUGAAAAUUUUCAUGCCUCCUCUGUAGUUUAUGGCAGGAGGCUUUAAAAAGAAGUUAGGAAGGGGUACAUGGGAGCUUAGAGCAAUGGUAACAGAGUUAUUGUCCACUGUCCCUUAUGGAUGCCUUCAGUUAAGGGACAGGGUUAAUUUGUGAGUUUUGGGGGAGAUCUCUGGCACUCAGAUCUCAGUGAAGCUCAGGUGCUCUUGCUCUGAAAGUAGAUCUGGAAGGGAGCGCUCGUGGGUAACUCCAGCUCCUUGGUCCCUCCUCGCUUUGGGUCUGUGUUCUUAGCAGCAGCUUUCUGGGGGGGUGAGGCAGAAAAAUCUCUUCUCAAAUAAAAAAAAAAAAAAAAGUACUGCAGAAGGUUGUACUCCAGAUUAGAGCUGACUGAAUUAUUAGUGGUGAGUCUAUUUCCUUGGAAAUGCCAUUUUGAUUAGUCCAGAAGUUUUUGACGGUAUUGAUGAAUGUUGUACGGGAGAGAGGAAUGUAGGGAAAAGACUUUCUGGAGAAAGUGGUAUGUGUGUGUUUGUUUUUGUUUUUCAUCACUCCCUCUGGUUCAACCUUUUUAUAUUUUGGGUGAAGUAGUUCCUUGCACAUCCUCCUGUGCUGCUUUAAUGUGUGCUCCCCCACAUUAAACUGAUUGUUUUGGCUCUAGUGGAAUGUCUUAUAUGGUAACAAAGGAGGGAGAAAUAGGAAAAUAAGGACAAGAAAUAUUUUGUUGGAAUUAAACCUACUUUUUUUUUUCCAUCCUCUGCUCUCCCCUGUGCACACCUGUUUCUUGAGAAUUUCCAUGUAGUUUGGUGAAGUGAAGUAAUUCAUCCCGCAUAUGUUCAUAAUUCUGUGGAAGUGGGAAUUAACAAGUGUAAGAUUCUUACCACCUUUUCUCCCCUUGAGCACAAAGGAGCCUAUUCACAGGGCAAGGCACAGUGUUAGUCAUUGUGAAUCACACGUUACAUGGCCCUGAUAAAAGAUACAGAGUUUUUAAUCUGUUUUGGUGGUGGGUAUUCUACUAGGAUCAAAGCAGUUGCAGAGGCACUUUUAUAGGAGACUUCUGCAUGCAUCGAAACUAUAACUCUUGCUUCUUUACAUUUUGAAGUGCCAGUUUAAAACAUUUUGGAUGUUUUUAACAUUUAAAAACUGUAUGUACCCUGUUUGGUUUCACUGAGAUUACUCAGUGCUACAAGUUAAGUAGUGUGUGAUCAGGAUUUGAAGUAUUUGAAGACAGUUCUUGAUAAGUGUUUCGGAGUAUGAAAUCAUUUGUUUUUCACCUUCAGAUGAUUCUACUGGCUUCAACUGUCUUGUUGCCAAAGGACUUUUUCCCAGUGGAUAUCUAGUAAGCACUAAAUGCUUUCUACCUGAAAGAUGGGCACUCAAACAUACUCAGAUUUUUACCUACUCCCUUUGAAAUUGCUGUAUGUCUCAGUGAACAGCAUCUACCCAUGAACUGCAAAAGAUGAGUUCCAAACUGAUGAUUCCCAUUGGUCUUAAAAGAUCACCUGCAAUAUUCCCUAUUAAAAAUACUCAUAUUAUUGCUCCGUUGGGUUGAUGAAAUACCGUGUGCUUGUUCUGAACGAUCCAGAUGCUGGUCUGCAUUAAGAAGUGUUACUGACAUCUCUCUAGUUAACCUUUGGAACAUUUCCUGCCCCCCAGGGCUGCAGCAACGAGCAUUGGUUUGGCCACUUGAGUACUCAGUUGUCUUACUGCAGAAGUGCUGCUGGGGAGAGGAAGAGAGCUGGUUUUUCACAGACAUGUUAGCAGUGCUUUUCAGAGGCUCAGCACUUUUACUCAUGUGAUUUUGUCACUGUGAUUAGUGGAGUCCCCACCAAGCAUUUUAUCCAGAUGGGCUAGAAACUUCGAAAGGAGAGAGAAUUUGGAAGAGGAGCUUAUAUUUAGAGGUGCUGUAGAAGAGACAAGCUAAUGUAAGUUAAAUGAUUAUCUGAAGGAUGCUUGUGUCUUUUUAAGGGAUUGAGCAAUCCUGGUCAGUGAGCCGUGGUAACUGGAGCAGCGCAGACACCAUAUUCCUGGGGCCAGCUGCCCUUCCCUUCCUUCCUAGCCGGGCCGUGACUAAUGUAUACCCUUUGGCUGGGAUUCUGGUGUUUGACUUCUUGUUUAUAUUUUGUACCAGCUUCAGAAGAUGCCCAGUCUGAAAAUCAGGGCCUCUCUCUGGAAAGAGAGGGGCUAGGGAAUGUUUCCUGAUCAGCACUGCGGUCCAUGUGACGGUGACAGUAUCCUGACUUGCACUCGGGUUUUAUGUCCUGUUUAUGAAACCCAAGCCUUCAGACUUGCAGACUUGUUUGGAGAAAUCUCUGGAGAAGGGAGAAUUAUCUUGAAGGGCUGGUAGGGAGGGGAGGGAUGGUGUUUUUGAGAUUGGACAAACAAAGUACCAUGAAUUUCCUGUCCUGAAGCCAAUAGCAAGUGUCCCUGCGAUGGUAUCUUUGCCAAACAAGAGAGAAUUCCACUUCUAUCAGGCUUUUAAUAAAUUCAAAACAUGUUCUUUGGAGACUGGUGACACACAGACUGAUGCAGUGUAAGAAAAUAGGAAGUGUGUAGCUGCAAAAAUGAUCAGGAAUGUGAAGGGCAGGUGCAAUGUGAGCCAUUACUGCUAGAUAUUUUCUUUUUAAUGAUUAAUUUAAAAACGGCAUGUCCUUGGGUCAGAGUCGUCUGAAAGAGCUCUGUGUGCUAAAUAAGAAAAUUGUUAGCAGGUCUCGUUAAUGUUAGCCAGGAAGCAUACAGGCAAACAGGAAGCUUUAGCUAUUGUUGUUGUACAAAUGCCCUUUACAAAAUAUUAGCAAGAGAAACUUAAUGUGUUUUCCACAAGAACAGGAGCCCUUCAUAGUGUCUAACUGUAUCUGCAGGGCGAAGAAAACCUGCAUUGUCCCUCUGCAGCAGCUUUGACAUACAUCGAGACGUCGCGUUUCAGAGAUCUCAAUUCACAUCUUCAAAUAUUUACUACUCCAAUUAUUUUUCUUAAAGAUGUAAGGUCCUUAAUUAGCUGCGACGGCAUCUAGCAUUUAGUUUUCUAUUGUGUUCCUUUGCUGCUUAAAAAAAAAAAAAAA